Molecule: ribosomal RNA, 484 nt
Filed under: uncultured bacterium
Lineage: Bacteria
Description: partial 16S ribosomal RNA
Rfam family: Bacterial small subunit ribosomal RNA
Source: RNAcentral
AUUGAACGCUGGCGGCAUGCUUUACACAUGCAAGUCGAACGGCAGCGCGGGCUUCGGCCUGGCGGCGAGUGGCGAACGGGUGAGUAAUGCAUCGGAACGUGCCCAGUAGUGGGGGAUAGCCCGGCGAAAGCCGGAUUAAUACCGCAUACGACCUGAGGGUGAAAGCGGGGGACCGAAAGGCCUCGCGCUAUUGGAGCGGCCGAUGUCGGAUUAGCUAGUUGGUGGGGUAAAGGCUUACCAAGGCGACGAUCCGUAGCUGGUCUGAGAGGACGACCAGCCACACUAGGACUGAGACACGGCCCAGACUCCUACGGGAGGCAGCAGUGGGGAAUUUUGGACAAUGGGGGCAACCCUGAUCCAGCCAUGCCGCGUGCGGGAAGAAGGCCUUCGGGUUGUAAACCGCUUUUGUUCGGGAAGAAAUCCUCUGGGCUAAUACCCCGGGGGGAUGACGGUACCGGAAGAAUAAGCACCGGCUAACUGCGUG